UACAGAGGUCCCGAGCGUUGUUCGGAUUCACUGGGCGUAAAGGGUGCGUAGGCGGCGCGGUAAGUCGGGUGUGAAAUCUCGGAGCUUAACUCCGAAACUGCAUUCGAUACUGCCGUGCUUGAGGACUGGAGAGGAGACUGGAAUUUACGGUGUAGCGGUGAAAUGCGUAGAUAUCGUAAGGAAGACCAGUGGCGAAGGCGGGUCUCUGGACAGUUCCUGACGCUGAGGCACGAAGGCCAGGGGAGCGAACGGG
Molecule: ribosomal RNA, 253 nt
Filed under: uncultured bacterium
Lineage: Bacteria
Description: partial 16S ribosomal RNA
Rfam family: Bacterial small subunit ribosomal RNA
Source: RNAcentral